UUCUUCGGGGCAGGGUGACUGAUUUGCAUUUGGAUAUCGGAAUUCCCUACCGGCGGGAUAGUCCGCGAGCCGUUUCUACGGUUGAUUUGGUGAAAUUCCAAAACCGACAGUAAAGUCUGGAUGAGAGAAGA
RNAcentral lists this non-coding RNA (131 nucleotides) under uncultured Blautia sp. RNAcentral describes it as "FMN riboswitch (RFN element)". It matches the Rfam family "FMN riboswitch aptamer (RFN element)". From Rfam's summary of the family: The RFN element is a highly conserved domain that is found frequently in the 5'-untranslated regions of prokaryotic mRNAs that encode for flavin mononucleotide (FMN) biosynthesis and transport proteins. This element is a metabolite-dependent riboswitch that directly binds FMN in the absence of proteins. In Bacillus subtilis, the riboswitch most likely controls gene expression by causing premature transcription termination within the 5' untranslated region of the ribDEAHT operon and precluding access to the ribosome-binding site of ypaA mRNA. Lineage: Bacteria; Bacillati; Bacillota; Clostridia; Lachnospirales; Lachnospiraceae. The record is from RNAcentral.